RNAcentral lists this ribosomal RNA (264 nucleotides) under uncultured archaeon. Its description in RNAcentral is "partial 16S ribosomal RNA". It matches the Rfam family "Archaeal small subunit ribosomal RNA", at positions 717 to 982 of the family's 1478-position model. The record is from RNAcentral.
ACACGACUACAUUAGAUACCCGCGUAGUCCUAGCCCUAAACGAUACUCGCUAGGUGUCGGCCACGGUGCGACCGUUGUCGGUGCCGUAGGGAAGCCGUGAAGCGAGCCACCUGGGAAGUACGGCCGCAAGGCUGAAACUUAAAGGAAUUGGCGGGGAGCACCACAACGGGUGGAGCCUGCGGUUUAAUUGGACUCAACGCCGGGAAGCUCACCGGAUAAGACAGCGGAAUGAUUGCCGGGCUGAAGACUCUGCAUGACUAGCUG